UUAUCUAUCUUUACGGAAAUUUCAUUAUAAUUCUUUAUACAAAAAUGUUGAUCUUCUUUUCGUUAUUAAAAACAACACAAACUAAAUUAAUUUUUACUUCCCCUUUAGACACUUUAUUGUUCCUCUGAAUAUUGCACAACGUCCCAGAUGGCGUCGUAAAGGCACAAAAUUACACAUUUACAAUGAUCAUACCUUUAUUGCCAAGCAUUUAAGCGGAAGCGGCUUGCAAUGCUCUAUAUGUAUGAAAUCAAUACCUCGACGACCCGGUAAACAGGGUUAUGAGUGUCGUGACUGUCAUUUAAUUUGUCACAAACAAUGUCAUGUCCGUGCACCACAAGCAUGUCCCAAUCCAACUGUACUCUCUAUGGAAUU
Long non-coding RNA from Lucilia cuprina (Australian sheep blowfly), 372 nucleotides. RefSeq lists it as uncharacterized. The transcript has 2 exons. The record is from RefSeq and is a predicted model, not a curated record. NCBI's taxonomy places the organism in Eukaryota, Metazoa, Arthropoda, Insecta, Diptera, Calliphoridae.